Molecule: ribosomal RNA, 382 nt
Filed under: uncultured eukaryote
Lineage: Eukaryota
Description: partial 18S ribosomal RNA
Rfam family: Eukaryotic small subunit ribosomal RNA
Source: RNAcentral
CAAUAGCGUAUAUUAAAGUUGUUGCAGUUAAAAAGCUCGUAGUUGGAUUUCUGGUUGAAGCGACCGGUCGGGCGUUGAUUCGUCUGCACUGGAGUCGGUUUUGGCCAUCCUCUAGGAAAGUGCGUCUGGCAUUAAGCUAUCGGGCGUAUGAUCCUGGUCUUUUACUGUGAAAAAAUUAGAGUGUUUAAAGCAGGCCUUCGCCUUGAAUACAUUAGCAUGGAAUAAUAAGAUAGGACUUUGGUCUAUUUUGUUGGUUUGCAGACCGAAGUAAUGAUUAAUAGGGAUAGUUGGGGGUAUUUAUAUUCCGAUGUCAGAGGUGAAAUUCUUAGAUUUUUGGAAGAUAAACUUAUGCGAAAGCAUUUACCAAGGAUGUUUUCAUUAA